Molecule: ribosomal RNA, 239 nt
Filed under: uncultured bacterium
Lineage: Bacteria
Description: partial 16S ribosomal RNA
Rfam family: Bacterial small subunit ribosomal RNA
Source: RNAcentral
CGAGUGGCGGACGGGUGAGUAAUGUCUGGGAAACUGCCCGAUGGAGGGGGAUAACUACUGGAAACGGUAGCUAAUACCGCAUAACGUCGCAAGACCAAAAAGGGGGACCUUCGGGCCUCUUGCCAUCGGAUGUGCCCAGAUGGGAUUAGCUAGUAGGUGGGGUAAAGGCUCACCUAGGCGACGAUCCCUAGCUGGUCUGAGAGGAUGACCAGCCACACUGGAACUGAGACACGGUCCAG